This 488-nucleotide ribosomal RNA is filed under the name uncultured bacterium. RNAcentral describes it as "partial 16S ribosomal RNA". It matches the Rfam family "Bacterial small subunit ribosomal RNA", at positions 28 to 507 of the family's 1533-position model. The record is from RNAcentral.
GACGAACGCUGGCGGCGUGCUUAACACAUGCAAGUCGAACGCGCCUGUCCUCUGGGUUUCUGGGGGGUGGGUGAGUGGCGAACGGGUGAGUAACACGUGAGUAACCUUCCCCCUUCUUCUGGAUAACGGUCUGAAAGGGCUGCUAAUACCGGGUAUUCACUUGUCUCCGCAUGGUGGCUGGUGGAAAGGUUUUUUUCUGGUGGGGGAUGGGCUCGCGGCCUAUCAGCUUGUUGGUGGGGUGAUGGCCCACCAAGGCUUUGACGGGUAGCCGGCCUGAGAGGGUGACCGGUCACAUUGGGACUGAGAUACGGCCCAGACUGCUACGGGAGGCAGCAGUGGGGAAUAUUGCACAAUGGGCGAAAGCCUGAUGCAGCGACGCCGCGUGAGGGAUGGAGGGCUUCGGGUUGUGAACCUCUUUCGCCCGUGGUCAAGCCGCGACGUGCGUCGUGGUGAGGGUAGUGGGUAAAGAAGCGCCGGCUAACUACGUG